Molecule: ribosomal RNA, 756 nt
Filed under: uncultured bacterium
Lineage: Bacteria
Description: bacterial SSU rRNA
Rfam family: Bacterial small subunit ribosomal RNA
Source: RNAcentral
AGAGUUUGAUCCUGGCUCAGGAUGAACGCUGGCAGUGUGCCUAAGACAUGCAAGUCGAACGGGAGUCUUCGGACUCUAGUGGCGAACGGGUGAGUAACACGUGGGCGACCUACCCCCAAGUACGGCAUAACCCCGGGAAACCGGAGCUAAUUCCGUAUGUGCUUACGUCUCAUUUGACGUACGUAAAGAUUUAUCGCUUGGGGAUGGGCCCGCGGCGCAUCAGCUAGUUGGUGGGGUAGCGGCCUACCAAGGCGACGACGCGUAGCCGACCUGAGAGGGUGACCGGCCACAGGGGCACUGAGACACGGGCCCCACUCCUGCGGGAGGCAGCAGUUAGGAAUCUUCGGCAAUGGGCGAAAGCCUGACCGAGCGACACUGCUUGGAGGAUGAAGGUCUUCGGAUCGUAAACUCCUGAACGAGGGACGAAUAAUGACGGUACCUCGCUAAUAGCACCGGCUAACUCCGUGCCAGCAGCCGCGGUAAUACGGAGGGUGCGAGCGUUAUCCGGAAUCACUGGGCGUAAAGGGCGCGUAGGCGGUUUGUUAAGUCCGAUGUUAAAGACCGAGGCUCAACCUCGACACGGCGUUGGAUACUGGCAAGCUGGACGGUUGGAGAGGAAGGUAGAAUUACCAGUGUAGCGGUGAAAUGCGCAGAUAUUGGGAGGAACACCAGUGGCGAAGGCGGCUUUCUGGGCCACGACUGACGCUGAGGCGCGAAAGCUAGGGGAGCAAACAGGAUUAGAUACCCUGGUAGUCC